RNAcentral lists this ribosomal RNA (441 nucleotides) under uncultured bacterium. RNAcentral describes it as "partial 16S ribosomal RNA". It matches the Rfam family "Bacterial small subunit ribosomal RNA", at positions 339 to 795 of the family's 1533-position model. The record is from RNAcentral.
CUACGGGGCGCUGCAGUAGAGAAUCUUCCGCAAUGGACGAAAGUCUGACGGAGCGACACCGCGUGAAGGAUGAAGGCCCUCGGGUUGUAAACUUCUUUUCUGGGGGAAGAAAAUCUGACGGUACCCCAGGAAUAAGGUCCGGCUAAUUACGUGCCAGCAGCCGCGGUAAUACGUAAGGGCCAAACGUUAUCCGGAAUUAUUGGGCGUAAAGUGUCCGCAGGUGGUGCAAUAAGUCUGUCAUUAAAUACCAGCGCUUAACGGUGGUGCCGUGGUGGAAACUAUUGUGCUUGAGGAUGGGAGAGGUAUAUGGAAUUGUGCAAGUAGGGGUAAAAUCCGUAGAUAUGCACAGGAACACCAAAAGCGAAGGCAGUAUACUGGACCAUUCCUGACACUCAGGGACGAAAGCGUGGGUAGCAAAAGGGAUUAGAUACCCUAGUAGUC